GACGAACGCUGGCGGCGUGCUUAACACAUGCAAGUCGAACGGAAAGGCCCUGCUUUCUGGGUACUCGAGUGGCGAACGGGCGAGUAACUCGUGGGUGAGUUGCCCUCCACUUCGGGUUAGGUCUCGGCAACAGGCUCUAACACCUGCUAGAUGCCAUCUUUAGUGUGAUGGUUGGAUAGUUUUUUCGGUUUUGGAUGUGCUGGCGGCCUAUCAGCUCGUUGGUGGGGUAAUGGCGUACAAAGGCGGCGACGGGUAGCCGGCCUGAGAGGGUGGACGGCCACAUUGGGACUGAGAUACGGCCCAGACUCGUACGGGAGGCAGCAGUGGGGAAUAUUGCACAAUGGGCGCAAGCCUGAUGCAGAGACGCCGCGGGGGGGAUGACGGCCUUCGGGUUGUAAACUCCUUUCGCUAGGGACGAAGCUUUUUGUGACGGUACCUAGAUAAGAAGCACCGGCUAACUACGUG
This 465-nucleotide ribosomal RNA is filed under the name uncultured bacterium. Its description in RNAcentral is "partial 16S ribosomal RNA". It matches the Rfam family "Bacterial small subunit ribosomal RNA", at positions 28 to 507 of the family's 1533-position model. The record is from RNAcentral.